This 377-nucleotide ribosomal RNA is filed under the name uncultured bacterium. RNAcentral's name for it is "bacterial SSU rRNA". It matches the Rfam family "Bacterial small subunit ribosomal RNA", at positions 524 to 898 of the family's 1533-position model. The record is from RNAcentral.
UACGUAGGGUGCAAGCGUUGUCCGGAAUUAUUGGGCGUAAAGAGCUCGUAGGCGGUCUGUCGCGUCUGCUGUGAAAACCCCGGGCUCAACUCGGGGCUGGCAGUGGGUACGGGCAGGCUAGAGUGCAGUAGGGGAGACUGGAAUUCCUGGUGUAGCGGUGAAAUGCGCAGAUAUCAGGAGGAACACCGGUGGCGAAGGCGGGUCUCUGGGCUGUUACUGACGCUGAGGAGCGAAAGCGUGGGGAGCGAACAGGAUUAGAUACCCUGGUAGUCCACGCCGUAAACGUUGGGCGCUAGGUGUGGGUCCCAUUCCACGGGGUCUGUGCCGCAGCUAACGCAUUAAGCGCCCCGCCUGGGGAGUACGGCCGCAAGGCUAAA